Long non-coding RNA from Homo sapiens (human), 565 nucleotides. Ensembl annotates it as long intergenic non-protein coding RNA 1483. NCBI's taxonomy places the organism in Eukaryota, Metazoa, Chordata, Mammalia, Primates, Hominidae. The record is from Ensembl.
AGAACAGACAUGGCAUUUAUACUGAGGACCAUGGACAGAGAACAUGGUGGGUCCUCACAUGGGCCCCAAAUCAAGUCUCAAGAACGAAGCCUGAAAUGUUGGAAUUUCGGUGACAGCUGUUUCUCACUGGGCAACUUUAUGAUCCAGGGUAACAGCAGAGAGGGACUUACUUAAAAAUAAGGAUCCUUCUGUGCCUAGCAGAGAAGGCCAACUAGUAUCCAGAGAAAACACUGGGAAAAACUUUGUGGUAUUCAGUGGGUUACAAGAUUGCCAUCUGCAUAUAUGAUUUUCCUCUUCCAUCUGUAGCACACUGCAUUGCCUCACAGCUAAAUUCCCACUGGAUUGUUGGUCUGAAUCACCGAUUGAAAAAUCAAAUGUCUUCAGGGACCCGGCAGGAUCCCGAAGGACGCCGCUCUAAGCCAGAGGGAGCGGUGUGUGUUGUGGCUGAAGUGGAAAAUACAAGCCCAGUUUAAGGGCAUUCAAACAUGAAUUGUUUUUUUUAAAGCCGUGCGAGUCAAACAAAACAUGUCAGCAGUUCUUAUUAGGCUAACAGGUUGCUGGUUUG